RNAcentral lists this ribosomal RNA (434 nucleotides) under uncultured bacterium. Its description in RNAcentral is "bacterial SSU rRNA". It matches the Rfam family "Bacterial small subunit ribosomal RNA", at positions 30 to 507 of the family's 1533-position model. The record is from RNAcentral.
AUUGAACGCUGGCGGCAUGCCUAACACAUGCAAGUCGAACGAAGGCUUCGGCCUUAGUGGCGCACGGGUGCGUAACGCGUGGGAAUCUGCCCUUGGGUUCGGAAUAACUCAGAGAAAUUUGAGCUAAUACCGGAUGAUGACGUAAGUCCAAAGAUUUAUCGCCCAAGGAUGAGCCCGCGUAAGAUUAGCUAGUUGGUGGGGUAAAGGCCUACCAAGGCGACGAUCUUUAGCUGGUCUGAGAGGAUGAUCAGCCACACUGGGACUGAGACACGGCCCAGACUCCUACGGGAGGCAGCAGUGGGGAAUAUUGGACAAUGGGCGAAAGCCUGAUCCAGCAAUGCCGCGUGAGUGAUGAAGGCCUUAGGGUUGUAAAGCUCUUUUACCAGGGAUGAUAAUGACAGUACCUGGAGAAUAAGACUCCGGCUAACUCCGUG